Molecule: ribosomal RNA, 796 nt
Filed under: uncultured bacterium
Lineage: Bacteria
Description: bacterial SSU rRNA
Rfam family: Bacterial small subunit ribosomal RNA
Source: RNAcentral
AGAGUUUGAUCAUGGCUCAGAACGAACGCUGGCGGCGCGCCUAAUACAUGCAAGUCGAGCGAGAAGGUGUAGCAAUACACUUGUAAAGCGGCGAACGGGUGAGGAAUACAUGGGUAACCUACCCUCGAGUGGGGAAUAACUAGCCGAAAGGUUAGCUAAUACCGCGUACGCUUCCGGGACUGCGGUUCCGGAAGGAAAGCGAUACUGUGAGUAUCGCGCUCUUGGAUGGGCUCAUGUCCUAUCAGCUUGUUGGUGAGGUAACGGCUCACCAAGGCUUCGACGGGUAGCUGGUCUGAGAGGACGAUCAGCCACACUGGCACUGCGACACGGGCCAGACUCCUACGGGAGGCAGCAGUAAGGAAUAUUGCGCAAUGGACGACAGUCUGACGCGGCGACGCCGCGUGGGGGACGAAGGUCUUCGGAUUGUAAACCCCUUUCGGGAGGGAAGAUGGGAUGGGGUAACCCAUUCGGACGGUACCUCCAGAAGCAGCCACGGCUAACUUCGUGCCAGCAGCCGCGGUAAUACGAAGGUGGCAAGCGUUGUUCGGAUUUACUGGGCGUACAGGGAGCGUAGGCGGUUCGGUAAGCCCUCUGUGAAAUCUCCAGGCUUAACCUGGAACAGUCGGAGGGGACUGCUGAGCUAGAGGAUGGGAGAGGAGCGCGGAAUUCCCGGUGUAGCGGUGAAAUGCGUAGAGAUCGGGAGGAACACCUGUGGCGAAAGCGGCGCACUGGACCACUACUGACGCUGAGGCGCGAAAGCUAGGGGAGCAAACAGGAUUAGAUACCCUAGUAGUCC